This 290-nucleotide long non-coding RNA is filed under the name Gossypium barbadense (sea-island cotton). Its description in RNAcentral is "long non-coding RNA (GBAR_LNC005438)". Lineage: Eukaryota; Viridiplantae; Streptophyta; Magnoliopsida; Malvales; Malvaceae. The record is from RNAcentral.
GAUUUAAUCGGAUAUAACAACUCGCACAAAUGCCUUCGGGUCUUAGCCCGGAUAUAACAACUCGCACAAAUGCCUUCGGGUCUUAGCCCGGAUAUAAUCGCUAGCAUAAAUGCCUUCGGGUCAUAGCCCGGAUAUAGCAACUCGCACGAAUGCCUUCGGAUCUUAGUCUGGUUAUCAUCCGAAUAAUCAUGCACAUAUGUCCACAAAUCAUAACACAUUUUUAUUUCGUUUUCAUUACUAGAACUCAGACACAAGGCACUUAUCUACCAUUACCAUUUUCGGCUCAAUAG